CCCGCACAAGCGGUGGAGUAUGUGGUUUAAUUCGAAGCAACGCGAAGAACCUUACCAGGGCUUGACAUCCUACUAACGAAGUAGAGAUACAUUAGGUGCCCUUCGGGGAAAGUAGAGACAGGUGGUGCAUGGUUGUCGUCAGCUCGUGUCGUGAGAUGUUGGGUUAAGUCCCGCAACGAGCGCAACCCUUAUUGUUAGUUGCUACGCAAGAGCACUCUAGCGAGACUGCCGUUGACAAAACGGAGGAAGGUGGGGACGACGUCAAAUCAUCAUGCCCCUUAUGUCCUGGGCCACACACGUACUACAAUGGCGGCUAACAAAGGGAGGCAAUACCGCGAGGUGGAGCAAAUCCCCAAAAGCCGUCCCAGUUCGGAUUGCAGGCUGAAACUCGCCUGUAUGAAGUUGGAAUCGCUAGUAAUCGCGGAUCAGCAUGCCGCGGUGAAUACGUUCCCGGGCCUU
Molecule: ribosomal RNA, 459 nt
Filed under: uncultured Oscillospiraceae bacterium
Lineage: Bacteria; Bacillati; Bacillota; Clostridia; Eubacteriales; Oscillospiraceae
Description: bacterial SSU rRNA
Rfam family: Bacterial small subunit ribosomal RNA
Source: RNAcentral